AACAGCGUGGCUCAGUGGAAAGAGCACAGGCUUGGGAGUCUGAGGUCAUGGGUUCUAAUCCUGGCUCUGCUG
RNAcentral lists this transfer RNA (72 nucleotides) under Ornithorhynchus anatinus (platypus). It matches the Rfam family "tRNA". From Rfam's summary of the family: Transfer RNA (tRNA) molecules are approximately 80 nucleotides in length. Their secondary structure includes four short double-helical elements and three loops (D, anti-codon, and T loops). Further hydrogen bonds mediate the characteristic L-shaped molecular structure. tRNAs have two regions of fundamental functional importance: the anti-codon, which is responsible for specific mRNA codon recognition, and the 3' end, to which the tRNAs corresponding amino acid is attached (by aminoacyl-tRNA synthetases). tRNAs cope with the degeneracy of the genetic code in two manners: having more than one tRNA (with a specific anti-codon) for a particular amino acid; and 'wobble' base-pairing, i.e. permitting non-standard base-pairing at the 3rd anti-codon position. The record is from Rfam by way of RNAcentral. Lineage: Eukaryota; Metazoa; Chordata; Mammalia; Monotremata; Ornithorhynchidae.